This 497-nucleotide ribosomal RNA is filed under the name uncultured bacterium. Its description in RNAcentral is "partial 16S ribosomal RNA". It matches the Rfam family "Bacterial small subunit ribosomal RNA", at positions 28 to 507 of the family's 1533-position model. The record is from RNAcentral.
GAUGAACGCUGGCGGCGUGCCUAAUACAUGCCAGUCGAGCGAACAGACGAGGAGCUUGCUCCUCUGACGUUAGCGGCGGACGGGUGAGUAACACGUGGAUAACCUACCUAUAAGACUGGGAUAACUUCGGGAAACCGGAGCUAAUACCGGAUAAUAUAUUGAACCGCAUGGUUCAAUAGUGAAAGACGGUUUUGCUGUCACUUAUAGAUGGAUCCGCGCCGCAUUAGCUAGUUGGUAAGGUAACGGCUUACCAAGGCGACGAUGCGUAGCCGACCUGAGAGGGUGAUCGGCCACACUGGAACUGAGACACGGUCCAGACUCCUACGGGAGGCAGCAGUAGGGAAUCUUCCGCAAUGGGCGAAAGCCUGACGGAGCAACGCCGCGUGAGUGAUGAAGGUCUUCGGAUCGUAAAACUCUGUUAUUAGGGAAGAACAAAUGUGUAAGUAACUAUGCACGUCUUGACGGUACCUAAUCAGAAAGCCACGGCUAACUACAUG